Molecule: ribosomal RNA, 553 nt
Filed under: fungal sp. R20
Lineage: Eukaryota; Fungi
Description: eukaryotic LSU rRNA
Rfam family: 5.8S ribosomal RNA (bases 217-370)
Source: RNAcentral
AAGGAUCAUUAGAAUGAGAGCCGGUCCGCGUGGUAAGGUCUGAAAAACCUCACGUGCCAGUAAGUGACCGUAAACCUCCACCCGUGCCUAUAUUACAACUGUUGCUUUGGUAGGCCGCGCACCGCAAGGUGAGAGCACCGGCUUCGGCUGGAGAGUGUCUGCCAGAGGACCCAAAUUCUGAAAUUUAGUGACGUCUGAGUACUACUUAAUAGUUAAAACUUUCAACAACGGAUCUCUUGGUUCUGGCAUCGAUGAAGAACGCAGCGAAAUGCGAUAAGUAAUGUGAAUUGCAGAAUUCAGUGAAUCAUCGAAUCUUUGAACGCACAUUGCGCCCUCUGGUAUUCCGGGGGGCAUGCCUGUUCGAGCGUCAUUAUGACCAAUCACGCAAGUGGUAUUGGGGCUUGCCAGCUUUCGGCAUCCCUUAAAGACAGUGGCGGUGCUAUAGGCUCUCAGCGUAGUAAUUAUUCCGCUCUUGAGUCCUGGACGUACUUGCCAAGACCCCAACUUUCUUAAGGUUGACCUCGGAUCAGGUAGGGAUACCCGCUGAACUUAA